RNAcentral lists this ribosomal RNA (449 nucleotides) under Sceloporus mucronatus (cleft lizard). RNAcentral's name for it is "partial 16S ribosomal RNA". It matches the Rfam family "Bacterial large subunit ribosomal RNA", at positions 1923 to 2571 of the family's 2925-position model. Lineage: Eukaryota; Metazoa; Chordata; Lepidosauria; Squamata; Phrynosomatidae. The record is from RNAcentral.
UUUAACGGCCGCGGUAUCCUAACCGUGCAAAGGUAGCGUAAUCACUUGUCCCUUAAAUAGAGACUAGUAUGAACGGCUAAAUGAGGAUAGAUCUGUCUCCUUUAACAAAUCAGUGAAACUGAUCCACCAGUACAAAAGCUGGAAUAAUAUCAUAAGACGAGAAGACCCUGUGGAGCUUUAAAUUUAACCCAAACAAUAAGACAAAAAUUGGUACAUGGCUAAAAAUUUUAAGUUGGGGCGACUUCGGAAAAAAACUAAACUUCCGAGCAUAAGACUAUGUCAUACCAAGACCUACGAGUCUAAGCCAAAAUUGACCCAGUAAUACUGAUAAACGAACCAAGUUACCCCAGGGAUAACAGCGCAAUCUUCUUCAAGAGUUCCUAUCGACAAGAAGUUUACGACCUCGAUGUUGGAUCAGGACACCCAAAUGGUGUAGCCGCUAUUAAAGG